ACCACCACAAUACACGAUUUACGUGAUUCACUGCGUAGGGAAACAUCUACGGUCUCGGGAAUUAGAAAUCUACUAUUACAAUGAAUAUUAUAGUUUUUUGUUGCAAGAGAUAUACUUCUCUUUAGAUAUCGGUAAAAGACCAUCAUCAAUCUUCCCUUCUAAACUCGCUCUCCCCACCGAACAACACCGUCGAUCAAUACCUUCUUUUCCACCGCAAUACCGCUACCAAAAAAAUUAUAUCUAGAGCAACUGAGAGAUUUUCUCUCUCUAGAAGUGAAACUUUAACCAACCCAAAACUCAAAAGAAUACCGCCUCUCUCUCGGAGGCCAUGUCGCUAUCUUGGAGACCAAUAUCCAUCUUUGGAGAUCCAUUCUCAUAACCCUAAAAAAGGUGACCGCCAACAGGAUGAGUCUUACGUUUGCCUUGAUCCACUUUUAUAGAUAUCACUUGAGCUUCUUUCUUGCUCCCCAAGAAACCCAUUCUUCUUAUCCCGUAAUACCCUUAACCUUUUAGAAUAAAAUAUGGAUUGGUGAUUUAGCUACCACUAAACCCAACAAUCUCCACCGUGAUAGCAAAAUCACCAUAAUUUCCUUGACAGUGUUCAUUGAAAAGAUUUAUUCUCACUUGCAUUCAUUGUAGAAUUUUCACAAAUAUUUUGCCUCCAUAUUUCUUUACCUCAAGCUAUGGAUCCAUCAUACAUCAUUCUCUUAAUGUAAGUCUUAACCCCGUACAUACCUUACACGUUGCAUUGUGGGUUUCUAGGGAACCCCUAGCUUGUGAAGCCGAGAAUCUCAAAUUCUAUUAUCCAACCCAAGAUCAUGUACAUGAUUGGCUAAAUGUGAAGUAAAAUAAUACAACUAUAAAUUGAGUACGAAAAAUAAAUCAAAUAUAAAAAGGCACCACUACAACACAACAUUUACGUGGUUUACCCCGUAGGGCUACAUCCACAGUCUCGAUAAUUACAAAUCCACUAUCACAAUGAAGAUUACAGUUUUGGAUUACAAAAGAUAUACCUCUCUCUAAACAUCCGUAAAAGACCAUCGUCGAUCUUCCCUUCUAAACUCGCUCUCCCGACGAAGCAACAUCGUCGAUCAAUACUUUCUUUCUCACCGUAAUACCGCUACUAGAAAGAUAACUUCGAAAACGACCGAGAAACUUUUUCUUUCUAAAAGUUAAACUUUAACCAACUUAAAACUCACGAGAAUACCGCCUCUCCCUCGAAGGCUAUGUCUCUCUCUCUAAGAGACCAAUUUGCAUAUUUAGAGAUUUAUUCCCAAAACCCCCAAAGGUGAC
This 1293-nucleotide long non-coding RNA is filed under the name Amborella trichopoda. Its description in RNAcentral is "long non-coding RNA (ATRI_LNC002182)". The record is from RNAcentral. Lineage: Eukaryota; Viridiplantae; Streptophyta; Magnoliopsida; Amborellales; Amborellaceae.